Molecule: ribosomal RNA, 1442 nt
Filed under: metagenome
Description: bacterial LSU rRNA
Rfam family: Bacterial large subunit ribosomal RNA
Source: RNAcentral
UGUGGGGACACGUGUGGAGAGCACAAGCCGGAAAUGGAAAAGCCGGUGCAAGCGAGGUAGGAGUACAGUAGGCAAAUCCGCUGUACAAUCCGAAGACGUGAUGCGGACCGAAUUAAGAGUAGGGAAGUGUGUGAGCCAUGCGUCAAGAAAAGCCGCUAUUGUUUUACUUAAGCCCGUACCGUAAACCGACACAGGUGGAUGAGGAGAGAAUCCUAAGGCCGACGGGAGAAGCAUUGUUAAGGAACUCGGCAAAAUGACUCCGUAACUUCGGGAGAAGGAGUGCCAGCGAGAGCUGGCCGCAGAGAAUUGGCCCAAGCAACUGUUUAGCAAAAAACACAGGUCUAUGCAAAACCGUAAGGUGAAGUAUAUGGGCUGACGCCUGCCCGGUGCUGGAAGGUUAAGAGGAGAGGUUAGCGGCAACGCGAAGCUUUGAAUUUAAGCCCCAGUAAACGGCGGCCGUAACAAUAACGGUCCUAAGGUAGCGAAAUUCCUUGUCGGGUAAGUUCCGACCCGCACGAAAGGCGUAAUGAUUUGGGCACUGUCUCAACAAUGCACCCGGUGAAAUUGAAAUACCAGUGAAGAUGCUGGUUACCUGCGCCAGGACGGAAAGACCCCAUGGAGCUUUACUCCAGCUUGAUACUGGGAUUCGGUAUUGCAUGUACAGGAUAGGUGGGAGGCUAGGAAGUGAUAACGCCAGUUGUCACGGAGCCGCUGUUGGGAUACCACCCUUGCAGUAUUGGAUUUCUAACCAGCGACCAUGAACUGGUCGGGGGACAAUGUCAGGUGGGGAGUUUGACUGGGGCGGUCGCCUCCGAAAGGGUAUCGGAGGCGCUCAAAGGUUCCCUCAGAAUGGACGGAAACCAUUCGAAGAGUGCAAAGGCAGAAGGGAGCUUGACUGCGACACCGACGGGUGGAGCAGGUACGAAAGUAGGACUUAGUGAUCCGGUGGUAUAAAGUGGGAUUGCCAUCGCUCAACGGAUAAAAGCUACCCUGGGAUAACAGGCUUAUCACUCCCAAGAGUUCACAUCGACGGAGUGGUUUGGCACCUCGAUGUCGGCUCAUCGCAUCCUGGGGCUGAAGUAGGUCCCAAGGGUUGGGCUGUUCGCCCAUUAAAGCGGUACGCGAGCUGGGUUCAGAACGUCGUGAGACAGUUCGGUCCCUAUCCGGCGUGGGCGUAGGAUAUUUGAGAGGAGCUGUCCUUAGUACGAGAGGACCGGGAUGGACUGGCCGCUGGUGUAUCUGUUGCAUACCAAAUGCAUGGCAGAGUAGCCAAGCCGGGACGGGAUAAACGCUGAAGGCAUCUAAGCGUGAAGCCCCCCUCAAGAUGAGAUAUCCCUACGUAAGUAGUAAGACCCCUUGAAGACGACGAGGUAGAUAGGUCAGAGGUGGAAGUACAGUAAUGUAUGGAGCUGACUGAUACUAAUCGGUCGAGGGCAUGACCG